This 500-nucleotide ribosomal RNA is filed under the name uncultured bacterium. Its description in RNAcentral is "partial 16S ribosomal RNA". It matches the Rfam family "Bacterial small subunit ribosomal RNA", at positions 30 to 523 of the family's 1533-position model. The record is from RNAcentral.
AUUGAACGCUGGCGGAAUGCUUUACACAUGCAAGUCGAACGGCAGCACGGACUUCGGUCUGGUGGCGAGUGGCGAACGGGUGAGUAAUGUAUCGGAACGUGCCCAGUCGUGGGGGAUAACGUAGCGAAAAUUACGCUAAUACCGCAUACGAUCUAUGGAUGAAAGCGGGGGAUCGCAAGACCUCGCGCGAUUGGAGCGGCCGAUAGCAGAUUAGGUAGUUGGUGGGGUAAAGGCCCACCAAGCCAACGAUCUGUAGCUGGUCUGAGAGGACGAACAGCCACACUGGAACUGAGACACGGUCCAGACUCCUACGGGAGGCAGCAGUGGGGAAUUUUGGACAAUGGGCGAAAGCCUGAUCCAGCCAUUCCGCGUGCAGGAUGAAGGCCCUCGGGUUGUAAACUGCUUUUGUACAGAACGAAAAGGUUUCUACUAAUACUAGGAGCUCAUGACGGUACUGUAAGAAUAAGCACCGGCUAACUACGUGCCAGCCGCCGCAGUAA